GAUGAACGCUGGCGGCGUGCCUAAUACAUGCAAGUCGAGCGAACGGACGAGAAGCUUGCUUCUCUGAUGUUAGCGGCGGACGGGUGAGUAACACGUGGAUAACCUACCUAUAAGACUGGUAUAACUUCGGGAAACCGGAGCUAAUACCGGAUGAUAUUUUGAACCGCAUGGUUCAAAAGUGAAAGACGGUCUUGCUGUCACUUAUAGAUGGAUCCGCGCUGCAUUAGCUAGUUGGUAAGGUAACGGCUUACCAAGGCAACGAUGCAUAGCCGACCUGAGAGGGUGAACGGACACACUGGAACUGAGACACGGUCAAGACUCCUACGGGAGGCAGCAGUAGGGAAUCUUCCGCAAUGGGCGAAAGCCUGACGGAGCAACGCCGCGUGAGUGAUGAAGGUCUUCGGAUCGUAAAACUCUGUUAUUAGGGAAGAACAUAUGUGUAAGUAACUGUGCACAUCUUGACGGUACCUAAUCAGAAAGCCACGGCUAACUACGUG
RNAcentral lists this ribosomal RNA (497 nucleotides) under uncultured bacterium. RNAcentral's name for it is "partial 16S ribosomal RNA". It matches the Rfam family "Bacterial small subunit ribosomal RNA", at positions 28 to 507 of the family's 1533-position model. The record is from RNAcentral.